CAGGACGAACGCUGGCGGCGUGCUUAACACAUGCAAGUCGAGCGAUGAAGCUUCUCGGAAGUGGAUUAGCGGCGGACGGGUGAGUAACACGUGGGUAACCUGCCUCAUAGAGGGGAAUAGCCUUCCGAAAGGAAGACUUAAUACCGCAUAAGAUUGUAAUAUCGCAUGAUAUAGCAAUUAAAGGAGCAAUCCGCUAUGAGAUGGACCCGCGUCGCAUUAGCUAGUUGGUGAGGUAACGGCUCACCCAAGGCGACGAUGCGUAGCCGACCUGAGAGGGUGAUCGGCCACAUUGGGACUGAGACACGGCCCAGACUCCUACGGGAGGCAGCAGUGGGGAAUAUUGCACAAUGGGGGAAACCCUGAUGCAGCCAACGCCGCGUGAGUGAUGACGGUCUUCGGAUUGUAAAGCUCUGUCUUCAGGGACGAUAAUGACGGUACCUGAGGAGGAAGCCACGGCUAACUACGUGCCAGCCGCAGC
This 478-nucleotide ribosomal RNA is filed under the name uncultured bacterium. Its description in RNAcentral is "bacterial SSU rRNA". It matches the Rfam family "Bacterial small subunit ribosomal RNA", at positions 25 to 518 of the family's 1533-position model. The record is from RNAcentral.